GACGAACGCUGGCGGCGUGCCUAAUACAUGCAAGUCGAACGCAGUGGGGACGGGUGAGUAACACGUGGGUAAACUGCCAUCAGAGGGGAUAACACUUGGAAACAGGUGCUAAACCGAUACUGAUGGCUGGUCCCUGGGUGCAUUAGCUAGUUGGUGAGGUAACGGUUCACACAGGCGACGAUGCAUAGACGGCCUGAGAGCGUGAUCGGACAAACUGGAACUGCGACCCGGCCCAGACUCGUACGGUAGGCAGAAGUAGGGAAUCUGCGGCAAGGGACGAAAGUCUGACCGAGCAACGCCGCGUGUGUGAAGAAGGUUUUCGGUUCGUAAAACUCUGUUGUUAGGGAGGCGUUAUCUAACCAGAAAGCCACGGCUAACUACGGGCCAGCAGCCGCGGUAAUAC
This 403-nucleotide ribosomal RNA is filed under the name uncultured bacterium. RNAcentral describes it as "partial 16S ribosomal RNA". It matches the Rfam family "Bacterial small subunit ribosomal RNA", at positions 28 to 526 of the family's 1533-position model. The record is from RNAcentral.